GGUCCAGACUCCUACGGGAGGCAGCAGUGGGGGAUAUUGCACAAUGGGGGAAACCCUGAUGCAGCGACGCCGCGUGGGUGAAGAAGCGCCUCGGCGCGUAAAGCCCUGUCAGCAGGGAAGAAAAUGACGGUACCUGGCUAAGAAGCCCCGGCUAACUACGUGCCAGCAGCCGCGGUAAUACGUAGGGGGCAAGCGUUAUCCGGAUUUACUGGGUGUAAAGGGGGCGCAGACGGCAGCGCAAGCCAGGAGUGAAAGCCCGGGGCCCAACCCCGGGACUGCUCUUGGAACUGCGCGGCUGGAGUGCAGGAGGGGCAGGCGGAAUUCCUAGUGUAGCGGUGAAAUGCGUAGAUAUUAGGAGGAACACCAGUGGCGAAGGCGGCCUGCUGGACGAUGACUGACGCUGAGGCUCGAAAGCGUGGGGAGCAAACAGGAUUAGAUACCCCAGUA
Molecule: ribosomal RNA, 447 nt
Filed under: uncultured bacterium
Lineage: Bacteria
Description: partial 16S ribosomal RNA
Rfam family: Bacterial small subunit ribosomal RNA
Source: RNAcentral